This 3533-nucleotide long non-coding RNA is filed under the name Sus scrofa (pig). RNAcentral describes it as "lncRNA (ENSSSCG00065071513.1)". The record is from RNAcentral. Lineage: Eukaryota; Metazoa; Chordata; Mammalia; Artiodactyla; Suidae.
UUUCUCAUCAUCAGAACUGUUGAGUUGUACGGGUUUUGUGUUUUGUCUGCAUUAACGCACGUGCACAAAUAAAAGACCUGCCACCGAAACAGGUUUAUUUACGAAAUAGUGGUUAGCAGAAUAACUUAUUAAAACAUUGAGAACUCUUGUUAGUAGUCAGUUUCCAGGAAUAGUAUUCAGGAAGCCCUGGGCAGUGGGAUUGAUCACUUAGUAAAUUUGUUGUUAAAGCCAAACCAAACCCUAACUGGAGAACUUUGGGAUAUUACGGCUCUGACCCCACUGUUCCUGUGUUAGUUCUGCUAACAACAUGCGGCUGUUGAGCACUGUUGAAGGGAUAGUAUAUGGGUUUCAAUAUAUUUUGAUACAUUGGCUAAAUAGAAUAAUUAUCAUUAAUUUCACCUGUUUCUUUUUACUUUUUAACAUGUGUUUACUAGAAAAAUGUAAGUGAUAUAGGUGUCUCACAUUGUAUUUCUGCGGAUGGGGCUGGUCUCAUUCUGUGUGUCUGAAACUCCAUUACUGGUGCCUUACUGGCUUCAGACAGGUUGUUUGGGUUUCCCACGGGACUGGGCAGGGCUUCUAAUUUUUUUUUUUAAGUUGAACAAAACUCUGAAACAUAAUGAAUCAAAGUUACAGAUCACUCUCUAUAUAGUCAGUGGGAGUUAGGAAAGUGGAACCCCUUGGAGCCAGAACAAGUUAAACAGCAAAACAAGUUCUCUGCUUUGAGCAAAGUAUUUCCCCCAAAGGUAUUUCUUUUCUAAGAAUUUGUCCAUUUCUUCUAGGCUUUCCGUUUUAUUUGCAUAGAUUUGCAUGUAGUAGUCUCUUAUGAUCCUUUGUGUUUCUGUGAUGUCUGGUAUAACUUCUUUUUCAUUUCUAAUUUUAUUGAUUUGAGUCCUCUCUUUGUUUUUCUUGAUAAGUCUGGCUAAGGGUUCAUCAAUUUUGCUGAUCUUUUCAGAAAACCAGCUUUUUGUUUCAUUGAUCUUUUCUGUGGUUUUCUUCAUUUCUAUUUCAUUGAUUUCUGCUCUGAUCUUUAUGAUUUCUUUCCUUCUGCUAACUUUAGAUCUUGUUUGUUCUCUCUGUAGCUGCUAUAGACAAAGGUUAUUUCUUAUAGCCCUACUUCUGCCCGUCAUAACUGAGCAACUGCCAUGGAUAUCUUUAGCUUCAGGCUUCAUCACAUUGGUAUCUAGAAAGAGAAAUAGUCCUUUCUCCUCCUUUGGACUACAAGUCGUACUUGGCACACCUCUCUAGGAGAAAGAGUAGCUGCUGGAAUUUGUAAUGACCUACUGUUUGUGCCUCCAGCAUGUUGGAACAUGCAAUGAUGUGUCAACUUUGGUGUCAUCCUUACCAGUGAACAUUUGUGAGAAUAACUCAUAGUCGAGGAUAACUUAUUGAUAAGGGUAUCCCGAAAAACUCGGACAAUCAAUACUGAUGCUUCGGAAUUCCCUUCGUGGCUUAGCAGUUAACCGUGAGCUGUGGUGUAGGAUCUGAGCCACGUCUGUGACCUACACCACGGCUCACGGCAGCACUGGAUCCUUAACCCACUGAGCGAGGCGGGGGAUGGAAUACGAGUUGGGCUUAUUACCCCUGAGCCAUGAUGGGAACUCUGGAUUCUGCACUUCUAACAAGUUCCUGGAUGAUGGUGCGGCGUCUGCUCCAGCUUGGCCCUGGAGUGGGUGGUGGAGCUGACUGUGAUCCCAAUUCACUUGUCAAUUUCAUUUUUUUAAAUCCAAUAAUAACCAAUUAUUAUUUUCUAUUGCUUUGCAUUCAACUUCAGAACAAUUUUGUUUUCAUUUUUCAUCUUAAAUUGACAGGGCUCUUACUGCUUUCCCAUCCCUGGUCUCUCUGUCUGGUGCUUAAAUAAUGCCUUUUUAAGAAAACAAAAUAAGACCAACAAUGACUAAUAUUUAUAUAAAGGUUUCUAUGUGCCAGGAACUGUUUACUGAAAUUCUUGCGACACCUGGUAAGGUAGGCGUGUUAAUUAUCCACAUCUUACAGGUGAGAAAGCUGCGGCAGGUAAAGCUAAAAUAACUUCCUUAGAUGCUCACAUAGUGCAUGGGAACUAGGAUUAUUUUAGGAGUCUAUUUAAAGGAGCCUUUUGUAAAUCAGAGACCCUGGGGAGAGCUGGAACAGUCCAGUCUAAGGUAUAAGUUUUUGUUACUCAUCAUUUGGUUUCAUCAUUUUUUACGAAAUGGGGACCCCACCCUCCUAGAGGCAGCAAUGGUGGUAUUUAUGCAGAAUGCAACCCCAGACUAACUGUGGAGGCUGGUUAAGUCUGGUAUCAUGAUGAGUACCUAGCAUGACCCUGGGGCAAGACCUCAGACAGGGAGCUCAGCUGUGGUUUGCAAAGGAACAAAGAUCCCAGCAAGCAGGACAGAUCCUGCUUCCAUUCUGAUUUGAGUGUAAAUUCAACUUUUGUCAAGCAAAGAUUUUUAAAUUGAUUUAUGGUCAACUUCGGAAGGUUUUUAUUUUUUGUUGUAAAUUGGCAGGGCCCUUGCUACUUUUCUGCCCCCAGUCUCUCAAUCUAGCACUUUAAAAUGUUGAGGGUAUUUCUCACUGUGGCGCGGUGGGAUUGGCGGCGUCACUGCAGCGCUAGAAUGCGGGUUUGAUCCCUGGUCUAGUACAGUAGUUUAAAGGAGCUGAUGUUGUUGCAGCUGCCAUGUAGGUCACAACUGUGGCUCGGAUCUGAUCCCUGGCCCAGGAACUCCAUAUGCUGUGGGGUGGCCAGAAAAAAGAAAAGAAAAGAAAUGAAACAAACAAAAAUGUUAAGAGUAGGAAUAAGACCACUGGAGCACCUGCAAGCCUGCCUUGUGGGUUGUGGGCUGUUCUGAAAGAGCUGUUGUAGAUGGACCUGAACAUGUUCUGCAUGAGGCCAGGGGACGUGGUCUUCAGGAGCUGUGGCUGCCACAUCUUGUGGAAGUGCUCAUACGUUGCUCAGAGCCCAUGGUCAGUUGUAAAGCUGUCUUACUCUGGGACCUAGGACUAGCCACUAACCAUCCCUAGUCUUCAUUUUCGUCUUUUCUAAAAUGAAAGGAUUUGGGACACAACCCAAAUGUCCAUUGACAGGUGAUUGGAUUAGCAAGAUAUGGUAUACAUACACAAUGGAAUACUACUCAGCCAUAAAAAAGAACGUCAUAAUGCCAUUUGCAGCAACAUGGGUGGAACUAGAGUCUCUCACACUUAGUGAAGUUAAGUCAGAAAGAGAAAGACAAAUGCCAUAUGAUAUCACUUAUAUCUGUAAUCUAAUAUAGAGCACAAAUGAACCUUUCCACAGAAAAGAAAAUCAUGGACUUGGAGAAUAGACUUGUGGUUGCCAAGAGGGAGGGGGAGGGAGUGUGGUGGAUGGGGAGCUUGGGGUUAAUAGAUGCAAACUAUGGACUUUGGACUGGAUGAGCAAUGAGAUCUUGCUGUGUAGCACUGGGAACUAUGUCUGGUCACUUAUGGAGCAUGACAAUGUGAGAAAAUAGAAUGUAUACAUGUAUAUGCAACUGGGUCACCAUGCUGUACAGUAGAAAAAAAAAUAUAUUGGGGAAAUAAUU